RNAcentral lists this ribosomal RNA (119 nucleotides) under Pteropus alecto (black flying fox). Lineage: Eukaryota; Metazoa; Chordata; Mammalia; Chiroptera; Pteropodidae. The record is from RNAcentral.
GUCUACGGCCACGCCACCCUGAACGCGCCCGAUCUCGUCCGAUCUCGGAAGCUAAGCAGGGUCGGGCCUGGUUAGUACUUGGAUGAGAGACUACCUGGGAAUACCAGGUGCUGUAGGCA